This 252-nucleotide ribosomal RNA is filed under the name uncultured bacterium. Its description in RNAcentral is "partial 16S ribosomal RNA". It matches the Rfam family "Bacterial small subunit ribosomal RNA", at positions 524 to 776 of the family's 1533-position model. The record is from RNAcentral.
UACGUAGGUCCCGAGCGUUGUCCGGAUUUAUUGGGCGUAAAGCGAGCGCAGGUGGUUUAUUAAGUCUGGUGUAAAAGGUAGUGGCUCAACCAUUGUAUGCAUUGGAAACUGGUAGACUUGAGUGCAGGAGAGGAGAGUGGAAUUCCAUGUGUAGCGGUGAAAUGCGUAGAUAUAUGGAGGAACACCGGUGGCGAAAGCGGCUCUCUGGCCUGUAACUGACACUGAGGCACGAAAGCGUGGGGAGCAAAUAGG